This 460-nucleotide ribosomal RNA is filed under the name uncultured bacterium. Its description in RNAcentral is "partial 16S ribosomal RNA". It matches the Rfam family "Bacterial small subunit ribosomal RNA", at positions 338 to 795 of the family's 1533-position model. The record is from RNAcentral.
CCUACGGGUGGCUGCAGUGAGGAAUAUUGGUCAAUGGGCGCGAGCCUGAACCAGCCAAGUAGCGUGAAGGAUGACUGCCCUAAGUGUUGUAAACUUCUUUUAUAAAAGAAUAAAGUGAGGCCCGUGUGCCUUUUUGUAAGUAUUUUAUGAAUAAGGAUCGGCUAACUCCGUGCCAGCAGCCGCGGUAUUACGGCGGAUCCGAGCGUUAUCCGGAUUUAUUGGGUUUAAAGGGAGCGUAGAUUGGUUGUUAAGUCAGUUGUGAAAGUUUGCGGCUCAACCGUAAAAUUGCAAUUGAUACUGGCAGCUUUGAGUACAGUUGAGGUAGGCGGAAUACGUGGUGUAGCGGUGAAAUGCUUAGAUAUCACGUAGAACUCCGAUUGCGAAGGCAGCCUACUAAACUGCCACUGACAUUGAUGCUCGAAAGUGUGGGUAUCAAACAGGAUGAGAUACCCUAGUAGUG